Molecule: ribosomal RNA, 819 nt
Filed under: uncultured crenarchaeote
Lineage: Archaea; Thermoproteati; Thermoproteota
Description: bacterial SSU rRNA
Rfam family: Archaeal small subunit ribosomal RNA
Source: RNAcentral
UGCGAGUCACGUAGCAAUACGUGGCAUACGGCUCAGUAACACGUAGUCAACAUGCCCAGGGGACGUGGAUAACCUCGGGAAACUGAGGAUAAACCGCGAUAGGUCAUAGUAUCUGGAAUGAUUUAUGGCUUAAAUCUAUAUGGCCUCUGGAUUGGACUGCGGCCGAUCAGGCUGUUGGUGAGGUAAUGGCCCACCAAACCUAAAACCGGUACGGGCUCUGAGAGGAGAAGCCCGGAGAUGGGCACUGAGACAAGGGCCCAGGCCCUAUGGGGCGCAGCAGGCGCGAAAACUCUGCAAUAAGCGAAAGCUUGACAGGGUUAUUCUGAGUGAUUUCCGCUAAGGAAAUCUUUUGGCACCUCUAAAAAUGGUGCAGAAUAAGGGGUGGGCAAGCCUGGUGUCAGCCGCCGCGGUAAUACCAGCACCCCGAGUGGUCGGGACGAUUAUUGGGCCUAAAGCAUCCGUAGCCGGUUCUACAAGUCUUCCGUUAAAUCCACCUGCUCAACAGAUGGGCUGCGGAGGAUACUAUAGAGCUAGGAGGCGGGAGAGGCAAGCGGUACUUAGUGGGUAGGGGUAAAAUCCGUUGAUCCAUUGAAGACCACCAGUGGCGAAGGCGGCUUGCCAGAACGCACUCGACGGUGAGGGAUGAAAGCUGGGGGAGCAAACCGGAUUAGAUACCCGGGUAGUCCCAGCUGUAAACGAUGCAGACUCGGUGAUGAAUAGGCUUCGUGCCUAUUCAGUGCCGCAGGGGAAGCCGUUAAGUCUGCCGCCUGGGGAGUACGGUCGCAAGACUGAAACUUAAAAGGAAUUGGCGGGGGAGCA